UCGAUAGUCUUUCGCCCCAUGCGCAGAUUUGACGAUCGAUUUGCACGUCAGAACCGCUGCGAGCCUCCACCAGAGUUUCCUCUGGCUUCACCCUAUCCACGCAUAGUUCACCAUCUUUCGGGUCCGAACAGUUAUGCUCUUACUCAAAUCCAUCCGAAGACAUCAGGAUCGGUCGAUGAUGCACCCGUAAGGGCUCUCACCUCCGUUCACUUUCAUUACGCUUGAGGGUUUAACACCCAAAAACUCGCAUAAAUGUUCGACUCCUUGGUCCGUGUUUCAAGACGGGUGGCUGAUGACCAUUAUGCCAGCAUCCUAGCCGAAGCGCGGUCCUCAGUCCCAGCGGCGGUAUUACACAGCAGGCUAUAACACUCCCGGGGGAGUCACGUUCCUGAAGUCUUUAUCCCGCCGCCGAAACUGAUGCUGGCCUCAACCAAGCGGAGUGCACCGGUGAGAACACCGGAUGAUCCGCAAGGCAAAGGUCUGGUCACAAGCCCUUCCCUUUCAACAAUUUCACGUACUAUUUAACCCUCUUUUCAAAGUGCUUUUCAUCUUUCGAUCACUCUACUUGUGCGCUAUCGGUCUCUGGCCGGUAUUUAGCUUUAGAAGAAAUUUACCUCCCAUUUAGAGCAGCAUUCCCAAACUACUCGACUCGUCGAAGGAGAUUUACAGAGGCUCGGCAUCCAACCGUACGGGGCUCUCACCCUCUAAGGCGUCCUGUUCCAAGGAACUCGGAAGGUACCUAACCAAAAUCAUCCUCUACAAAUUACAACUCGGACCCGAGGGCCAGAUUUCAAAUUUGAGCUGUUGCCGCUUCACUCGCCGUACUAGGGCAUCCCUGUUGUUCGA
This 846-nucleotide ribosomal RNA is filed under the name Microdochium seminicola. RNAcentral's name for it is "partial 28S ribosomal RNA". The record is from RNAcentral. Lineage: Eukaryota; Fungi; Ascomycota; Sordariomycetes; Xylariales; Microdochiaceae.